CAGUCGCCGCGGUAAUACGUAGGGUGCGAGCGUUAAUCGGAAUUACUGGGCGUAAAGCGUGCGCAGGCGGUUGUGUAAGACAGGUGUGAAACCCCCGGGCUUAACCUGGGAACUGCGCUUGUGACUGCACAGCUAGAGUAUGGCAGAGGGGGGUGGAAUUCCACGUGUAGCAGUGAAAUGCGUAGAGAUGUGGAGGAACACCGAUGGCGAAGGCAGCCCCCUGGGCCAAUACUGACGCUCAUGCACGAAAGCGUGGGGAGCAAACAGGAUUAGAUACCCCUGUAGUCCCUGUCUCUUAUAA
RNAcentral lists this ribosomal RNA (301 nucleotides) under uncultured bacterium. RNAcentral describes it as "partial 16S ribosomal RNA". It matches the Rfam family "Bacterial small subunit ribosomal RNA", at positions 509 to 809 of the family's 1533-position model. The record is from RNAcentral.